RNAcentral lists this ribosomal RNA (232 nucleotides) under uncultured bacterium. RNAcentral describes it as "partial 16S ribosomal RNA". It matches the Rfam family "Bacterial small subunit ribosomal RNA", at positions 99 to 334 of the family's 1533-position model. The record is from RNAcentral.
CGGACGGGUGAGUAAUGUCUGGGAAACUGCCCGAUGGAGGGGGAUAACUACUGGAAACGGUAGCUAAUACCGCAUAACGUCGCAAGACCAAAGCGGGGGACCUCCGGGCCUCGCGCCAUCAGAUGAACCCAUAUGGGAUUAGCUAGUAGGUGGGGUAAUGGCUCACCUAGGCGACGAUCCCUAGCUGGUCUGAGAGGAUGACCAGCCACACUGGAACUGAGACACGGUCCAG